Molecule: ribosomal RNA, 252 nt
Filed under: uncultured bacterium
Lineage: Bacteria
Description: partial 16S ribosomal RNA
Rfam family: Bacterial small subunit ribosomal RNA
Source: RNAcentral
UACGUAGGGCGCAAGCGUUGUCCGGAAUUAUUGGCGUAAAGAGCUCGUAGGCGGCUUGUCACGUCGGAUGUGAAAGCCCGGGGCUUAACCCCGGGUCUGCAUUCGAUACGGGCAGGCUAGAGUUCGGUAGGGGAGAUCGGAAUUCCUGGUGUAGCGGUGAAAUGCGCAGAUAUCAGGAGGAACACCGGUGGCGAAGGCGGAUCUCUGGGCCGAUACUGACGCUGAGGAGCGAAAGCGUGGGGAGCGAACAGG